CGGACGGGUGAGUAAUGCUUGGGAAUCUGGCUUAUGGAGGGGGAUAACUACGGGAAACUGUAGCUAAUACCGCGUAAUAUCUUCGGAUUAAAGGGUGGGACUUUCGGGCCACCUGCCAUAAGAUGAGCCCAAGUGGGAUUAGGUAGUUGGUGGGGUAAAGGCCUACCAAGCCGACGAUCUCUAGCUGGUCUGAGAGGAUGACCAGCCACACUGGAACUGAGACACGGUCCAGACUCCUACGGGAGGCAGCAGUGGGGAAUAUUGCACAAUGGGGGGAACCCUGAUGCAGCCAUGCCGCGUGAAUGAAGAAGGCCUUCGGGUUGUAAAGUUCUUUCGGUGAUGAGGAAGGUGUUUGUUUUAAUAGAACAAGCAAUUGACGUUAGUCACAGAAGAAGCACCGGCUAACUCCGUGCCAGCAGCCGCGGUAAUACGGAGGGUGCGAGCGGUAAUCGGAAUGACUGGGCGUAAAGGGCACGCAGGCGGUGACUUAAGUGAGAUGUGAAAGCCCCGGGCUUAACCUGGGAAUUGCAUUUCAUACUGGGUCGCUAGAGUAUUUUAGGGAGGGGUAGAAUUCCACGUGUAGCGGUGAAAUGCGUAGAGAUGUGGAGGAAUACCGAAGGCGAAGGCAGCCCCUUGGGAAUAUACUGACGCUCAUGUGCGAAAGCGUGGGGAGCAAACAGGAUUAGAUACCCUGGUAGUCCACGCUGUAAACGCUGUCGAUUUGGGGAUUGGGCUUUAAGCUUGGUGCCCGUAGCUAACGUGAU
Molecule: ribosomal RNA, 764 nt
Filed under: uncultured Actinobacillus sp.
Lineage: Bacteria; Pseudomonadati; Pseudomonadota; Gammaproteobacteria; Pasteurellales; Pasteurellaceae
Description: bacterial SSU rRNA
Rfam family: Bacterial small subunit ribosomal RNA
Source: RNAcentral